This 120-nucleotide Y RNA is filed under the name Propithecus coquereli (Coquerel's sifaka). RNAcentral describes it as "Y RNA (ENSPCOG00000004353.1)". It matches the Rfam family "Y RNA". From Rfam's summary of the family: Y RNAs are components of the Ro ribonucleoprotein particle (Ro RNP), in association with Ro60 and La proteins. The Y RNAs and Ro60 and La proteins are well conserved, but the function of the Ro RNP is not known. In humans the RNA component can be one of four small RNAs -- hY1, hY3, hY4 and hY5. The record is from Rfam by way of RNAcentral. Lineage: Eukaryota; Metazoa; Chordata; Mammalia; Primates; Indriidae.
AGCUGGUCUGAAGGUAGUUAGUUACCUCAAUUGACUACUGAGUCAGUUACAGAUCAAACUUCUUGGUCUACUCUUCCUCCCUGUCCUCUCCUUCUCACUACUAUACUUGACUAGUCUUCA